RNAcentral lists this transfer RNA (94 nucleotides) under Pseudomonas putida. RNAcentral's name for it is "tRNA-Val". Lineage: Bacteria; Pseudomonadati; Pseudomonadota; Gammaproteobacteria; Pseudomonadales; Pseudomonadaceae. The record is from RNAcentral.
CAGCCCGGUGGGCGACUGGUUGCCGUGCCGCCGCAGGCUGACGAUCUGCAAGCGUGGGAUGCCUUGCUGGCCGCGUUCACGCCCGGCGUGGUGC